Molecule: transfer RNA, 68 nt
Filed under: Marmota monax (woodchuck)
Lineage: Eukaryota; Metazoa; Chordata; Mammalia; Rodentia; Sciuridae
Description: tRNA.Gly
Source: RNAcentral
GAAUUGUGGCUAAGCGGUAGAGCGUUCGCCUCCCAUAUGCGAGACCCUGGGUUCGAUCCUCAGCACCA